GGGGAAGUGCUGACCAGUGGUCAGGAUGGCUUUGCUUUGGAAGGAGGAGGAGAAGGUGGGGCUGCCUGGGGGGCGGGAUGAGAAAGGGAGUAGGGCAUAGAGAGGAAAGAGGCCGUGUUGUUGCCCUGGGAGGAGGUUGAGGCAAAGGACAGAGCUCUUUAUGAGCUUGUUCCCAGGGAGCAGGCUCUUGCUUCAUCACACGAAGAAUUCAGAGUCAAGACAGGGAGGUCAAGACAAGGAAGGAGGACUUGGUAUGACAUCGCCUGCAGUAACUGAACAUGGAAUACAAGGUUUGGGAGGACGUCAGAGUCAAAGAGGCAGGAUCUCCUGAUGGACAAAGGCAACACAGGGGUAAAAAUUCACGACAUUCCUGAGAACAAGCAUCUCUCAGGACCACAUCCUGGUAUCUGGUCACUCAACACCGCUGAACACGACCAGGGGACUGACCCAAUUCCAGAUCUGGAACCGGAAAGCAACCGAGAGACUUGGGCAUCAAACUGUCCCAGAAAGCAAGACGUUUCACCGAGAAUCAUGAAGGGAUGUUUACAGGACAAAAGAACCAGCUGGAUGGGGAUCCCACUGGUGACAUUCGGGUAGAUUUGAGCAUCGAAGGGAACAGUGAGUAAAGGCAAAUGCAAUAGACAGAGUAAAUAAAAAUCUUCAAGUCCCUAGCGAAGAGAGAGAAAGAACAAAAAUAUCUGCCUCCGCUGGUGGUGGUGAUUACAACAAAUCCUUUCUUGGAAACUGAUGAUUAAAGGGAAGGAGUUUAGUUUUUAUCCUCUUAUAGGAAUAACUGUAUUUCAUCCUGCUUUAAUCAGGGAAUUUUAUUUUUACAUUAAAGUAUCAGGUAAGAAGAUUUAAGAGUGUUUAAAAUUGAGAAUCAGAGUUCCUGUUGUGGUUCAGUGGUUAACAAACCUGACUAGUAACCAUGAGGUUACAGGUUCAAUCCCUG
Long non-coding RNA from Sus scrofa (pig), 952 nucleotides. RefSeq lists it as uncharacterized. Lineage: Eukaryota; Metazoa; Chordata; Mammalia; Artiodactyla; Suidae. The record is from RefSeq and is a predicted model, not a curated record.